AAUCAACGCUGGCGGCGUGCCUAACACAUGCAAGUCGAACGCGAAAGGGGGCUUCGGCUCCUAAGUAGAGUGGCGUCCGGGUGAGUAACACGUAGGUAAUCUGCCUUCGGUGGGAAUAACCAGUCGAAAGAUUGGGCUAAUACCGCAUAAUGCAGCGGCACCUAAUGGUGAUUAGUUGUUAAAGCGGGGAUCGUAAGACCUCGCGCCUGAAGAGGAGCCUGCGGCAGAUAGCUAGUUGGUGAGGUAAUGGCUCACCAAGGCUUCGAUCUGUAGCUGGUCUGAGAGGACGGCCAGCCACACUGGCACUGACACACGGGCC
This 319-nucleotide ribosomal RNA is filed under the name uncultured bacterium. RNAcentral describes it as "bacterial SSU rRNA". It matches the Rfam family "Bacterial small subunit ribosomal RNA", at positions 32 to 332 of the family's 1533-position model. The record is from RNAcentral.